CCCUCGGGACGCAGCAGUGAGGAAUAUUGGUCCAUGGACGCAAGUCUGCACCCCCCCUGCCGCGUGCAGGAUGACGGCUCUAUGAGUUGUAAACUGCUUUUGUACGAGGGUAAACCCCGAUACGUGUAUCGGGUUGAAAGUAUCGUACGAAUAAGGAUCGGCUAACUCCGCGCCAGCAGCCGCGGUAAUACGGAGGAUCCGAGCGUUAUCCGGAUUUAUUGGGUUUAAGGGG
RNAcentral lists this ribosomal RNA (232 nucleotides) under uncultured bacterium. RNAcentral's name for it is "partial 16S ribosomal RNA". It matches the Rfam family "Bacterial small subunit ribosomal RNA", at positions 338 to 567 of the family's 1533-position model. The record is from RNAcentral.